RNAcentral lists this ribosomal RNA (591 nucleotides) under uncultured bacterium. Its description in RNAcentral is "partial 16S ribosomal RNA". It matches the Rfam family "Bacterial small subunit ribosomal RNA", at positions 355 to 938 of the family's 1533-position model. The record is from RNAcentral.
UGGGGAAUUUUGGACAAUGGGCGAAAGCCUGAUCCAGCAAUGCCGCGUGUGUGAAGAAGGCCUUCGGGUUGUAAAGCACUUUUGUCCGGAAAGAAAUCCUUGGCUCUAAUACAGUCGGGGGAUGACGGUACCGGAAGAAUAAGCACCGGCUAACUACGUGCCAGCAGCCGCGGUAAUACGUAGGGUGCAAGCGUUAAUCGGAAUUACUGGGCGUAAAGCGUGCGCAGGCGGUUUGCUAAGACCGAUGUGAAAUCCCCGGGCUCAACCUGGGAACUGCAUUGGUGACUGGCAGGCUAGAGUAUGGCAGAGGGGGGUAGAAUUCCACGUGUAGCAGUGAAAUGCGUAGAGAUGUGGAGGAAUACCGAUGGCGAAGGCAGCCCCCUGGGCCAAUACUGACGCUCAUGCACGAAAAGCGUGGGGAGCAAAACAGGAUUAGAUACCCUGGUAGUCCACGCCCUAAAACGAUGUCAACUAGUUGUUGGGGAUUCAUUUCCUUAGUAACGUAGCUAACGCGUGAAGUUGACCGCCUGGGGAGUACGGUCGCAAAGAUUAAAAACUUAAAUGAAUUGAACGGGGUCAUAGCUGUUUCCU